This is a long non-coding RNA of Coffea arabica (coffee), 2790 nucleotides long. RefSeq lists it as uncharacterized. Lineage: Eukaryota; Viridiplantae; Streptophyta; Magnoliopsida; Gentianales; Rubiaceae. The record is from RefSeq and is a predicted model, not a curated record.
UCUUCUAGCUGCAAUGGACGGAUAGCUUGCAGCCGCAGCUCUUCACCAUUUCCUUCUGCAAAGCUCACAAAAAUCACUACCAAACCUCCAUAGAUUCAACCAAAACUUCACAUACGUUUAGCUCAUCACUUGGACAAUCACUUGGACAAAGAAGGAGCUGCACACUCACGAUUUUUCUUGGGACUUUUGAACACCAGAAUCUGACUUUUUAGCACACAAGUAAGAUUUGAACUCGGAGACGUACUGGAAAAAACCUCCUGAUGAGCUUUUGUUUAGGGUUUCUAUUACUUUUGGCUAUGUCUUGGUUUUUGGGUUGUAUUUUGGAAUCCGAAUGUAACUUUUGGAGCAUGAUGUAUAUUUGGGAUAUAUGAUGGUUGUUGAAUACCCGAUGUGUGGGUUGGAUAAUGGAUGACUUUUAUUAAACUUGAACGCUUCCGCAGUUAUUGUAUCUAAGUUAUUGACUCGUAUUGUGUGGUCCAGUAAUAAACUUGAAUGGAAUUGCUUGAGUCCUGGCGAGAGCUAGGCAGGCGUUUCGCGGAUACCCUUUGGUUCGCCUUAAGGAGAAGUGGGGGCGUCACAAUGUUCACGGAUGAUAUUUUAAUAUUUACCCAUUGUUUAGAGGGCGGUUUGGAUGGUUUGGAGGCAUUUUUGGAAUCUUAUCAAGCUUACUUGGGUCAAAAAAUUAACAUACACAAAAGUUCAUUUAUUAUAUCUACCUGGGCUAAUGAGGAGCAUUGUGAGGUGGUGGUUUCGAAACUACGAUUUUAGUAGCAGCAUAUUCCUCUUACUUAUUUGGGGGCACCAAUAUCAAAGGGCAGAACCACGUGUAUUUUAUUUGAUUCUAUUGUAGCUAGGAUGAGAGACUGUCUAUUCCAUUGGAGUUUGAGGCUGCUUUCAUCAGGGGGCAAACUGAUAUUAUUGCGGCAUGUGCUUACCUUAAUGCCUAUGUAUUUACUGCAAGUGCUAGACCCACCGCGGUCAAUUUUGGUCAAGUUGGACAGGAUAUGUAAUGACUUCUUAUGGGAUAAGGAUGCUCGUUCAAAAGGCAUUCAUUGGAUGUCUUGGGAGAAACCUUGCUAUCAGUAGAAGAAGGUGGUGGGCUGGGUUUUCGUUCCUUUGAAGACAUGUGUUCAGCCUUUGUUUGCAAGUUCUGGUGGUGUUUGUGGAAGAAAUACUCAAUAUGGGCAGAUUUUAUGCACUCCAAGCAUAUUAAGGGCUGCCAUCCUAUUCAAGUUCAAGUCCUCAAGCCUCCCCCUUCGUGAAGAUGCUUGGAGAGCAUUAGAAAUAUUGCGGAAAGCAGCAUUAGAUGGUGUGUGGGUAAAGGUUUUGUAGAUUUUUGGUAUAAUCGGUGGCUUUUCAACUCUCCCUUGCUAGAAUUGAUCCCUAUCAAUGAUCCGCCCCACAUGCUGCUAGUAGAGUUUUUUGGUGAUAGGGGCUGGAAUGUCGAGCACUUGAAGUGUUGGUUAAGCAUCCAUUUGGUUUAACAAAUAUAGGAAGUUAACUUAUAUCCUGAUCAAAAUGAUUGCAUGGUUUGGGUGAGUUCGUCCUCUGAAGAGUUCUCAAUUAAGUUUGCUUGGGAUCAUAUUUGACAGAGUUGGAAUUUUUCAUUGGUGGAUGGAUUUAUUUGAAACAAUAUUGUACCGCUUAAGAUGUCCUUCUUUGCAUGGAAGGCAGUGUGCAAUUUGGUUCUAUUGGAGGUGAAUUUGAAGCGACGUGGAAUACCACUGGUGUCAAGAUGUUCGUGCUGCCUCUCGUAGGAAGAAUCAUUAGUACACCUUUUUGUUACGGGUCCUAGGUAUGAGGUUCUUUUCAAAAGAGGUUUGGAAUUCUAGAGUCCCACUCCUCUUCGGUGUCUACGAUUAUUUUGUCGUGGUUUGGCUCAAAUUCUUUGGUAAUGCAUAACCACAUAAGGGCUGUUGUUCCCGUGGUAGUACUUUGGUUUCUAUGGAAAUCUAGGAACAAAGCACGUUUUGAUGGAGCACGCUUUGAAGCUCAUGGGGUAAUCUCCUUGAUUGACGGUUUUGUGGAACAGCUGGGGUUGGCAAACAAGCUCUCAGUGUGUCUGUUUAAGGGUGACUAUGAGGAUCCAUGGGCUCGGUUGGCUGUCUGAUCAUCAAGGAAAAAGAAGGUUUAUGCUGUUUCUUGAAAGCAGCCACCGCUACACUGUGUGAAGUUGAACAUUGAUGCUAGUGUCUCCCAAAAUCGGGCAUAUGGGGGUGGUUUGCUCCGAGACUCUGGAAGCCGUUUAAUUUUUGUUUUUUACAAGAAAUUUGGGGAAAUGAAUGUCUUGAGGGCAGAAAGCUUAUCAUUGUUGCAUGAUCUUCAAUUGUGUAAAGAAGUAGUCAAAGGACCUCUACUGGUGGUGGUAGAUUUUGAGAGUCUGGUUCGUAUGCUAAAUGUUGGGGGUGCGUCAAAAUGGCCUUUGUGCAAUACACUGAGGAGCAUAAGAGCUUUAAUAAACUCAUUAUUGGCUUCCAUAUCACAUGUUGUAAGAGAGACGAACUCGUCAGUAGAUAAGUUAGUGGGUUUGUGAGUGCUGUCUGAUCCAUAUUGCACUUUGUAUCCUCAGCUCCUGGGAAUAGUUAGGGCUUCGAUAUAUUUAGACAGUAGGGAGGUCUCUUUUCUAUGUUGGCAAUUUGUAAGGGAGUAGUGCUCCUUAUUGUUAGCUCAUUGCAGAGGAUAUCUUUAACUCUUUGUACUAUUUCAUUUAUAUCAAUAAAAUAGGGGGCUGGCAUCCCCACUCCGUGGACGGGAUUUGCCAAAAAAAAAAACAUUUAAAAUUUUAAACAA